RNAcentral lists this ribosomal RNA (218 nucleotides) under Rogeria innotabilis. Its description in RNAcentral is "partial large subunit ribosomal RNA". The record is from RNAcentral. Lineage: Eukaryota; Metazoa; Arthropoda; Insecta; Hymenoptera; Formicidae.
GAAUUUGAUAUAAAUAUUAAUUGAAGAUAUAUUUAAAAAUAAUAAUUUAGUAUUUAUAUUUUAUUGGGAGGAUAAUUAAAUUUUAUAAACUUAAAUUUUAAAAAAAUAUUAAUUGAUAGUAAAUUAAAAAGUAAAGUCAUUUAGAGUUAAAAAAAUUAAUUACCUUAGGGAUAACAGCAUAAAAUUUUUAGAGAGAUCUUAUCAAUAAAAAAUAUUGU